This 68-nucleotide transfer RNA is filed under the name Marmota monax (woodchuck). RNAcentral describes it as "tRNA.Val". Lineage: Eukaryota; Metazoa; Chordata; Mammalia; Rodentia; Sciuridae. The record is from RNAcentral.
GGCUUGUGGCUCAGUGGUAGAGCAUUUGCCUCACAUGUGUGAGGCACUGGGUUCGGUUCUCAGCACUA